This 1741-nucleotide ribosomal RNA is filed under the name Salmonella enterica subsp. enterica serovar Agona. Its description in RNAcentral is "partial 23S ribosomal RNA". It matches the Rfam family "Bacterial large subunit ribosomal RNA", at positions 1210 to 2925 of the family's 2925-position model. Lineage: Bacteria; Pseudomonadati; Pseudomonadota; Gammaproteobacteria; Enterobacterales; Enterobacteriaceae. The record is from RNAcentral.
UAAGGAUACGUUCGUUGGGUAGGGGAGCGUUCUGUAAGCCUGCGAAGGUGGCCUGUGAGGGUUGCUGGAGGUAUCAGAAGUGCGAAUGCUGACAUAAGUAACGAUAAAGCGGGUGAAAAGCCCGCUCGCCGGAAGACCAAGGGUUCCUGUCCAACGUUAAUCGGGGCAGGGUGAGUCGACCCCUAAGGCGAGGCCGAAAGGCGUAGUCGAUGGGAAACGGGUUAAUAUUCCCGUACUUGGUGUUACUGCGAAGGGGGGACGGAGAAGGCUAUGUUGGCCGGGCGACGGUUGUCCCGGUUUAAGCGUGUAGGUGUGUGUUCCAGGUAAAUCCGGUUCACUUUAACACUGAGGCGUGACGACGAGGCACUACGGUGCUGAAGCAACAAAUGCCCUGCUUCCAGGAAAAGCCUCUAAGCAUCAGGUAACAUCAAAUCGUACCCCAAACCGACACAGGUGGUCAGGUAGAGAAUACCAAGGCGCUUGAGAGAACUCGGGUGAAGGAACUAGGCAAAAUGGUGCCGUAACUUCGGGAGAAGGCACGCUGACACGUAGGUGAAGUGAUUUACUCAUGGAGCUGAAGUCAGUCGAAGAUACCAGCUGGCUGCAACUGUUUAUUAAAAACACAGCACUGUGCAAACACGAAAGUGGACGUAUACGGUGUGACGCCUGCCCGGUGCCGGAAGGUUAAUUGAUGGGGUCAGCGCAAGCGAAGCUCCUGAUCGAAGCCCCGGUAAACGGCGGCCGUAACUAUAACGGUCCUAAGGUAGCGAAAUUCCUUGUCGGGUAAGUUCCGACCUGCACGAAUGGCGUAAUGAUGGCCAGGCUGUCUCCACCCGAGACUCAGUGAAAUUGAACUCGCUGUGAAGAUGCAGUGUACCCGCGGCAAGACGGAAAGACCCCGUGAACCUUUACUAUAGCUUGACACUGAACAUUGAGCCUUGAUGUGUAGGAUAGGUGGGAGGCUUUGAAGUGUGGACGCCAGUCUGCAUGGAGCCGACCUUGAAAUACCACCCUUUAAUGUUUGAUGUUCUAACGUGGACCCGUAAUCCGGGUUGCGGACAGUGUCUGGUGGGUAGUUUGACUGGGGCGGUCUCCUCCUAAAGAGUAACGGAGGAGCACGAAGGUUGGCUAAUCCUGGUCGGACAUCAGGAGGUUAGUGCAAUGGCAUAAGCCAGCUUGACUGCGAGCGUGACGGCGCGAGCAGGUGCGAAAGCAGGUCAUAGUGAUCCGGUGGUUCUGAAUGGAAGGGCCAUCGCUCAACGGAUAAAAGGUACUCCGGGGAUAACAGGCUGAUACCGCCCAAGAGUUCAUAUCGACGGCGGUGUUUGGCACCUCGAUGUCGGCUCAUCACAUCCUGGGGCUGAAGUAGGUCCCAAGGGUAUGGCUGUUCGCCAUUUAAAGUGGUACGCGAGCUGGGUUUAGAACGUCGUGAGACAGUUCGGUCCCUAUCUGCCGUGGGCGCUGGAGAACUGAGGGGGGCUGCUCCUAGUACGAGAGGACCGGAGUGGACGCAUCACUGGUGUUCGGGUUGUCAUGCCAAUGGCACUGCCCGGUAGCUAAAUGCGGAAGAGAUAAGUGCUGAAAGCAUCUAAGCACGAAACUUGCCCCGAGAUGAGUUCUCCCUGAGACUUAGAGUCUCCUGAAGGAACGUUGAAGACGACGACGUUGAUAGGCCGGGUGUGUAAGCGCAGCGAUGCGUUGAGCUAACCGGUACUAAUGAACCGUGAGGCUUAACCUUACA